CAGUAGCCGCGGUAAUACGUAGGUGGCGAGCGUUGUCCGGAAUCAUUGGGCGUAAAGGGAGCGCAGGCGGGCAUGUAAGUCUUACUUAAAAGUGCGGGGCUCAACCCCGUGAUGGGAGAGAAACUAUCGGUCUUGAGUACAGGAGAGGAAAGCGGAAUUCCAUGUGUAGCGGUGAAAUGCGUAGAUAUAUGGAGGAACACCGGUGGCGAAAGCGGCUCUCUGGUCUGUAACUGACGCUGAGGCUCGAAAGCGUGGGGAGCGAACAGGAUUAGAUACCCCUGUAGUCCCUGUCUCUUAUACC
RNAcentral lists this ribosomal RNA (301 nucleotides) under uncultured bacterium. RNAcentral describes it as "partial 16S ribosomal RNA". It matches the Rfam family "Bacterial small subunit ribosomal RNA", at positions 509 to 808 of the family's 1533-position model. The record is from RNAcentral.